CCGUAGCUCAGCUGGAUAGAGCGCUGCCCUCCGAAGGCAGAGGUCGAAGGUUCAAAUCCUUUCGGGUG
The sequence is a transfer RNA, 68 nucleotides long. It matches the Rfam family "tRNA", at positions 5 to 66 of the family's 71-position model. From Rfam's summary of the family: Transfer RNA (tRNA) molecules are approximately 80 nucleotides in length.